This 77-nucleotide transfer RNA is filed under the name Chloroflexota bacterium. RNAcentral describes it as "Chloroflexi bacterium (freshwater metagenome) tRNA-Trp". It matches the Rfam family "tRNA". Rfam says of the family: Transfer RNA (tRNA) molecules are approximately 80 nucleotides in length. Their secondary structure includes four short double-helical elements and three loops (D, anti-codon, and T loops). Further hydrogen bonds mediate the characteristic L-shaped molecular structure. tRNAs have two regions of fundamental functional importance: the anti-codon, which is responsible for specific mRNA codon recognition, and the 3' end, to which the tRNAs corresponding amino acid is attached (by aminoacyl-tRNA synthetases). tRNAs cope with the degeneracy of the genetic code in two manners: having more than one tRNA (with a specific anti-codon) for a particular amino acid; and 'wobble' base-pairing, i.e. permitting non-standard base-pairing at the 3rd anti-codon position. The record is from RNAcentral. Lineage: Bacteria; Bacillati; Chloroflexota.
AGGGGUGUAGCUCAGCUUGGUAGAGCAGCGGUCUCCAAAACCGCAGGUCGCGGGUUCGAGUCCUGCCGCCCCUGCCA